Molecule: unclassified non-coding RNA, 332 nt
Filed under: soil metagenome
Description: partial contains 5.8S ribosomal RNA, internal transcribed spacer 2, and large subunit ribosomal RNA
Rfam family: 5.8S ribosomal RNA (bases 1-120)
Source: RNAcentral
GAUGAAGAACGCAGCGAAAUGCGAUAAGUAAUGUGAAUUGCAGAAUUCAGCGAAUCAUCGAAUCUUUGAACGCACAUUGCGCCCGCCAGUAUUCUGGCGGGCAUGCCUGUCCGAGCGUCAUUUCAACCAUCAAGCCCCGGGCUUGUGUUGGGGACCUGCGUCCGACGCAGGCCCUGAAAACCAGUGGCGGGCUCGCUGUCCACACCGAGCGUAGUAACUAACCUCGCUAUGGAGUGGCGCGGGCGCCUGCCGUAAAACCCCCAAUUUCACAAGGUUGACCUCGGAUCAGGUAGGAAUACCCGCUGAACUUAAGCAUAUCAAUAAGCGGAGGA